This is a long non-coding RNA of Mustela lutreola (European mink), 1426 nucleotides long. RefSeq lists it as uncharacterized. The record is from RefSeq and is a predicted model, not a curated record. The transcript has 2 exons. Lineage: Eukaryota; Metazoa; Chordata; Mammalia; Carnivora; Mustelidae.
CAUCACACACACUAUAUAAAUAUACCCGGAGAUGCCCAGAUACAUUCAUGCACAGCGCACACAGGAUACUUGCUCCUGGGAGAUAAGAGCGAGCCGGGAACAAUGCCGGGGUCCACGCCCGGCGCCCGCGCCCUGAUUCCCGCAGUCUGCACCCCCACCCCCAACACCUUCCCCCAAAGUCCAAAACCAAACGUCUUUGGCCUCCUUCCUUUUCCCGGGCCGUUGGCCGAAGGUGGCCCUCCUGACUCAUUCACUUUCCGUUUCUUCCCACAGAUACGUUCAUUAAUGCUUUUUCCAGCCGGAGUCAAACUUAUUGGGGGUUGGGGGGGGCAGUUUACUCGGGCUGGGGAUAACCUGGAGCCUACUGCCCGGGGAGAUCCGGACGCAGACCGAAGCAAACCAACCAUUUAAAAAAGUGCAUCCAAUGGGAAUUUUUCCACUCGGGCCCUCGGCCGCCGAGACGCGGCAGACUCAGAGCGGUUCACCGGUCGACGCGGACUCCGGGCGGUUUCGGAAGGACCGUCGGGGGCGCGGACUAGGCUCCCAGCGCAUUGUUAGCAGAAGGGCGCCCUCGGGGCAGCGCGCCUCGGCCCUUCGCUCCCGGAGAGCUCCCGGCGCCCGCCGAAGGCGGGAGCGGCGGCACCCAAGGCCACCUACCCGCGCCUUCUAGGGUCAAACCCCUCGCACUUUACCUGGACCCGAUGGCCCAAGUCCCGGCGCUCGGCCAGAGCCGCCUAUGCAGUGCUACUCCGAGCCCCGGAGAAACCUACACUACCGCGGACAUUCCUUCUACGCUGGUCAGCAGGUCUCCAGAGCGCAGCAAGCAAGAUCGCCGCACAGACUCAGACUUCCCCCUCGGGUUACCUUGUCCACGCUCUCCAGACCACGCUUUGGACUUUUUCACUUUUAUUUAAGAGUCCACCCGGGGAAGGAGGAAAAAAAAAAAAAAAUCCAGAGGAGAUCCGAGUCAAUUGGAAAGAAAAAAAAUUCAAAAGGGUGUCCACAGCGGCGAAAAAGGUGACUUAUUAAUUCUUUAUUUCUUCUGGACCAAGUGAGCCAGAAAGCUAGCUUGCCUUCCUCCCUCCCUCCCCCCACCCCCUCUCGAAAUUAGUCUCAUCAAUUCAGCUCCAAUUUUGGGUUCGAAUACAGACGCGGGUCUGAACGUGACCAGACCUGGAGUGGCGGGUGCAGCCUGCCAGCAAUUGAGACUCGGUGUGCUUAUGGGGGAGUGGGGUGGGGGAGGGGUGGGGGUGGGUUGGGGGCCGGGCCGACCCCCCCACCCCACCUCCUGUCUGCUUCUCAAUCCAGGGGUCUGCUCCGGGGCUCCCCAGAGACCGCCACAUCUGGUUACCGCUAGCGGGGUCAGUUCCCCCCCUUUGCCUGGGGCCACCAGUUCUGGAGUUCAAUUAAAAGAAAUCAGACUUAA